This 748-nucleotide ribosomal RNA is filed under the name uncultured Carnobacterium sp. RNAcentral's name for it is "bacterial SSU rRNA". It matches the Rfam family "Bacterial small subunit ribosomal RNA", at positions 28 to 776 of the family's 1533-position model. Lineage: Bacteria; Bacillati; Bacillota; Bacilli; Lactobacillales; Carnobacteriaceae. The record is from RNAcentral.
GAUGAACGCUAGCGGCAGGCCUAACACAUGCAAGUCGAGGGAGAGGUUACCUUCGGGUAACCAAGACCGGCGCACGGGUGCGUAACGCGUAUACAAUCUGCCUUUCACAUAGGGAUAGCCCGAAGAAAUUUGGAUUAAUACCUAAUGGUAUAUAGGAGCGGCAUCGUUUUUAUAUUAAAGCUACGGUGGUGAAAGAUGAGUAUGCGUUCUAUUAGCUAGUUGGAGAGGUAACGGCUCCCCAAGGCGACGAUAGAUAGGGGUUCUGAGAGGGAUGUCCCCCACACUGGUACUGAGAUACGGACCAGACUCCUACGGGAGGCAGCAGUGAGGAAUAUUGGACAAUGGUCGGAAGACUGAUCCAGCCAUGCCGCGUGCAGGAUGAAGGUCCUAUGGAUUGUAAACUGCUUUUGUAAGGGAAGAAUAAGGAGUACGUGUACUUUGAUGACGGUACCUUACGAAUAAGCAUCGGCUAACUCCGUGCCAGCAGCCGCGGUAAUACGGAGGAUGCGAGCGUUAUCCGGAUUUAUUGGGCGUAAAGCGAGCGCAGGCGGUUAGAAAAGUCUGAAGUGAAAGGCAGUGGCUCAACCAUUGUAGGCUUUGGAAACUGUUUAACUUGAGUGCAGAAGGGGAGAGUGGAAUUCCAUGUGUAGCGGUGAAAUGCGUAGAUAUAUGGAGGAACACCGGUGGCGAAAGCGGCUCUCUGGUCUGUAACUGACGCUGAGGCUCGAAAGCGUGGGGAGCGAACAGG